UACAACUUCUGUUACGAGACGCGUUUUCUUUUCUAUGGAUAUACUCCUAAUGCCAUUACCAUUUUAAUUACUACUUGCUACAGCUUCCUCAUCACCUCAAAAUAAAAGGCUCUCAUUCUUCUUUGGCUGUCUCUGUUGGCUGUCUCCAAAUCUAGGAUUAAUUUAACAAAAUAAGCCGAAAGCCUUUUGUGUUUUCAGCACCAACCCUGCUUCUUCUCUUUCUUGAUUGCUGUGGGAUAAAACUCCAAGAUUUCUACAACAAAAAUAUGUGUCCUUUGAGGUUUAUCUUGGUUUUUUUCUCAGCAGUUUUGGCUGGAUACUUUGCAUGGAGGACUGUACGCUCGUCGCCGGAGAUUGAAAGCAUAAAUUCCGAUGACUCAGCUGUUGAACAGAAACCAUUGAAUGAUAAACAAGAAUUCAAUGUAAACAAGGUAAAGAUUUUCAAUCUUGCUUUUGAAGAUUGAUUUCUUUGGUUUAUUCUUUUCUUGAGAUGUUUCUUUUGUAUUGAUUCUAAGUUGGAUGUUAAUUGAUCUAGAUGAUUCAAAAUGGAUUCUGGGUAUUCGUCGACAUGGCCAGCGGAAAGUACCUGUGGAGGAAUCUAAAGGAGAUGAGGAAAGAUGAGAAAGUGAAGAGCUGCUAGAAUUUCAUCUUCUUGUUCUGUAAUCAAACUAUUUUUGCCCCUUGUUCUUGCUGUGGGGGAAGAGGAAGAAAUGGGAAUUUGAGGGCUGGUCACUUGUAAUUUUCUUAUCAUUCCAUAGCAAAUUUAGUUUUUUCUGUUGAUAAUCCCUUUUGGGUUAAUGAAAUUAACUGUGUUCAUAAUUUGACCAUUGUUAGUAAUUAUGUUAAUUAUCUGAAAAAACCUUGAGG
This 867-nucleotide unclassified non-coding RNA is filed under the name Hevea brasiliensis (rubber tree). The record is from RNAcentral. Lineage: Eukaryota; Viridiplantae; Streptophyta; Magnoliopsida; Malpighiales; Euphorbiaceae.